CCUUCAGUAGUUUAUAAGCGAUUUACCGAUUAUCUAACUGCCUGGAUCACCAGCUGAUCUCUGUUCUUCGUCGAGGUUUCAACCCUUUCUCUCCGAACCUCUCCAAACAGUGUCCACAACCUCAGCCAUGAGUUCACACAAAUUCUCGAUGGAAAUGUGCAUCAUUGAGCAUGGUGUCCGGGUAUGGGAAGGUAUUACAAGUCUCCACCAUUUCCAGUACAAUAUUCCUGUCCCCACGUUUUCUAGUGCAGUGAGGUGUUUUGAAUUAUAAGCAGUCGGUAUGGUUUUACUUCAUGCACGUAACCCAGGUUAUUUUUUAUUUUUGCCUUUCCAGAGCUGUCAGUUGCCUGUAACACCGCCCAAAUAAAGGUAUGCAAAAGAAGAACAUGUUGCAUCCAUCCAUCCAUCCAUCCAUCCAUCCAUUGGGACCAUACUCUGCGUAGAGCAUUGGUGCUGUCUAAGCAGUCUCCUUGGCUAUUGGGCACAAUCCUGGAAUGGUCGCCACUCCGACACAGAAUACCAGCAAGCUGGCACUUAUUUUACCGACCUUGGAAGGACAACAAUCAGUCAACCCCACCUGGUAUUAAUUCAACAGCCGAAUGGGAUUUGAACUCAGGAACCUAGGAUCACCCUAACCAUGAAGCCAACACCAGGCAUACAUGUUGCAUGGUUGGGACAAUAUCCCCCACCGGAACCUGUCCACAAAAUUUGAUCCGGAUCCAUCCACAACUUUUUGAGAUAUCCUGUACACAAACAAAGAAACAGACAAACAGACAGAAAACAUAACCUCCUUCACCUUCGGUGGCAGAGGAAGUGUGGGAACACGCAUCUCACUGGCCCAAGAGGACAUUUCACGACAGAAGCUUAGAGGCCUCAAGAUGUCAUUAUCACCACACUACCAUAUGCUGCAUAGAGCAGGAACUCUCAGCCCAAAUGCCAAGCAGAGCUGUGUGGAUGGACUGCGCAGACAACUGAGGAAGUUACAUAUUAUUUACUGCACGAAAUUGGCCUUUGUCUAUUUGCAGGGGGCACAACAGCCGUUAGACCCCCAAUUACCGGUGAGGGAGGGUGUUGGGCAGCGCUUCCUUUUCAACAGCAGGAUUUCAGUGCUCAUCCCAAACUGCUCUCAGGACAUGACAUGAGUAGAACAGGCUGAGGAGGACAAGCAGAUUACCCUUCCCCUCCCCACUCCCCCACAACACCCAAACUACAAUUAAGGAGCCAACUGUGUUAUUUUAUGAAUAACCCGAUCGUGACAUGGUAAUUCUGUUGAUUUCAAAUCUGAAUCCUCAAUAAUGUCAACUUCAGCUGGAUUUAAACCCACAUCCUUUACAUUACUCUUCCAGUAUCCAUACUGCUGAUACCAAUGCCUCUAAAAAUCCUUUUUGUUAACAAUAGCAUUAUCUUCAGUUUUGGAAAGAUAACCCUUUUUGAUAUCAUUCCCAUGAUGACAUGGAAGCUUAACAUCUUUAUCAUCUUAUGGUCCAUAUGAGACACCACCAAGACAAUCAUAUCUUCCUCUGUGUCCAAAGUGUGUAAGAAAUCCAAUCCCUUGUUUUCACCAGAGCCUCGUAAUAAAGACACAAGAAGUCCUUGGCAAACCACAUUUCCAAGCUGCAUGGCCUUAAUGUCCCAGUGCACACUAGGCAUCCUCCAGUGAUUAAACCUUUAAUUCUCACAGCAUACGUACGAGGCAUUUGUUCAGCAUUAAAUUAAGUCUUAUUAUCCUUUGUGAGCUGAAGCAUCUAUCACCCACCUUUGCACUUCUGGAGGCUCUGGAGACUUGUAUUAACAUCGUUACCUUCUCAUCGCCAUAAUCUGGAUGUGUACCACCAUCAUCACCAUUAGCCUUUACAUCAUUUCCAUGCUCUACAUCACUUCCCGUCUCUAUCAUGUUUAUUUCUAUUUCAUAUUCUGUACAAGAAGGGCAAGUUAAAAUAAAUAACGAUACGCAUAUUUUAUCUCGUAUAGAGAGCUCAUUCCAACCACUCACUCACUGAUUAAUAUUAAAGUUCGGUACCUUCCAGGUGAGGUAGAAAGGUGAAAUUUUGCGUGCCAGUGGAAAUCAAAGCCAUUACACCGGGAAAAAUCACAGAACCAUUGGAAAGCAUCCGUAAAUGAAAAUAUAAAUAAUGAAAAUAAAUAAAUUAAAAACAUAAAUGCUGGUGAGCAACCCGAGGCAAUGGGGGAAGCACGGUAAUUGUGCGUGC
Long non-coding RNA from Eptatretus burgeri (inshore hagfish), 2210 nucleotides. NCBI's taxonomy places the organism in Eukaryota, Metazoa, Chordata, Myxini, Myxiniformes, Myxinidae. The record is from Ensembl.